GGCGGGAUAGCUCAGCUGGUUAGAGCGCAUGAUUCAUAAUCAUGAGGUCGGGGGUUCAAGUCCCCCUCCCGCUA
This 74-nucleotide transfer RNA is filed under the name Dysgonomonas hofstadii. It matches the Rfam family "tRNA". Rfam says of the family: Transfer RNA (tRNA) molecules are approximately 80 nucleotides in length. Their secondary structure includes four short double-helical elements and three loops (D, anti-codon, and T loops). Lineage: Bacteria; Pseudomonadati; Bacteroidota; Bacteroidia; Bacteroidales; Dysgonomonadaceae. RNAcentral also lists the same sequence under 4 other names. The record is from Rfam by way of RNAcentral.